Molecule: long non-coding RNA, 246 nt
Filed under: Olea europaea (common olive)
Lineage: Eukaryota; Viridiplantae; Streptophyta; Magnoliopsida; Lamiales; Oleaceae
Description: long non-coding RNA (OEUR_LNC014777)
Source: RNAcentral
ACUAGUGUGGUUUAUUUUAUAUAAUGAAAAGCGGGAAAACAAAGAGAGGAGGGGGGCAUGGACCUGACCUCCAGCGAAUGUAAAUUGUAACAAAUAUCUGAAGAUAAAAUGCAAUCACAGUAAACAAGAUACGAACAAAAACAAAUGAAAGGUACUUAAGGGUAUUCCCGAGGGUAAAUCUUCGGGUGGUAGUACAUAGACAUUGAUCGGGUCAUGCGUCUGGUUUGAAACAUUUCCGGAUCAUAG